This is a non-coding RNA of Acetobacter pasteurianus IFO 3283-01, 428 nucleotides long. Lineage: Bacteria; Pseudomonadati; Pseudomonadota; Alphaproteobacteria; Acetobacterales; Acetobacteraceae. The record is from Rfam.
UCAGGUGGUUGGGCGGUCGCUGUCCUGCUCUUUAACGGGUAGGAGAGAGGAAAGUCCGGGCUCCACGGAAGAACGGUGCCGGCUAACGGCCGGCGAGGGUAACCUUAGGGAAAGUGCCACAGAAAACAGACCGCCUUCCGGGUCUGACUUUGUAAAAUCCUUAUGGGAUUUUAUGGGACAGGCUGAAGGUAAGGGUGAAACGGUGCGGUAAGAGCGCACCGCUCCGCUGGUAACAGAGGAGGCACGGUAAACCCCACCGGGAGCAAAACCGAAUAGGAACGGCAGAAACCCUUGUGGUUUCGGGGGUUCUUCCGCCCUGCUGUUCGGGUUGGUUGCGAGAGGCAUGUUGCAAAACAUGCCCUAGACGAAUGACCGUCCAGCCUCCUUACGGAGGUGGACAGAACCCGGCUUACAGACCACCUGACACU